Molecule: ribosomal RNA, 509 nt
Filed under: uncultured Flavobacterium sp.
Lineage: Bacteria; Pseudomonadati; Bacteroidota; Flavobacteriia; Flavobacteriales; Flavobacteriaceae
Description: bacterial SSU rRNA
Rfam family: Bacterial small subunit ribosomal RNA
Source: RNAcentral
GAGUUUGAUCAUGGCUCAGGAUGAACGCUAGCGGCAGGCUUAACACAUGCAAGUCGAGGGGUAUAGGUUUUCGGACCUAGAGACCGGCGCACGGGUGCGUAACGCGUAUGCAAUCUGCCUUUUACAGAGGGAUAGCCCAGAGAAAUUUGGAUUAAUACCUCAUAGUAUUAUUGAAUGGCAUCAUUUAAUAAUUAAAGUUCCAACGGUAAAAGAUGAGCAUGCGUCCCAUUAGCUAGAUGGUAAGGUAACGGCUUACCAUGGCGACGAUGGGUAGGGGUCCUGAGAGGGAGAUCCCCCACACUGGUACUGAGACACGGACCAGACUCCUACGGGAGGCAGCAGUGAGGAAUAUUGGUCAAUGGGCGCAAGCCUGAACCAGCCAUGCCGCGUGCAGGAUGAAGGUCCUAUGGAUUGUAAACUGCUUUUGUACAGGAAGAAACACUGGAACGUGUUCCAGCUUGACGGUACUGUAAGAAUAAGGAUCGGCUAACUCCGUGCCAGCCGCCGCA